GUGGGCGGAGCGGAGAGAGGAAGAGGUAGGGUUUGGGGAUCUAGGUAUAUUUAUUCGAUGCACGGAUCAUCUGAACCAUCCAAAAUUCGAUCUAACGGCUAAAAACGGUGUCCUCUGAUGGGCCAAAUGGUUAGAUGGGCCGAAAUCAUGCUUGUCGCAGCACACUUCACUGCUUAAGGUUUUUCUUUUUCCAUUUAAUACACUCUUUUGAAGUAACUUGCAAAAUAAAAUAUCUUGAAUAUCCAAUACACUUUUGAAAUGUAAUAGAUAACAUCUAAGUUGCCAUGUAAGAGUUUGAAGAAUUUUUUUAACAGAUUUGGUAUUUUCUAUCAUUUAAAUGAAUUUCUGUGCGAUUAUCGAAAGUAAUUUCAAGUUGAACUAUGUGUACCUCCAAUAAGAUUCAAAAAAUUACACAAAAA
This 419-nucleotide long non-coding RNA is filed under the name Setaria viridis. RNAcentral's name for it is "long non-coding RNA (SVIR_LNC003537)". The record is from RNAcentral. Lineage: Eukaryota; Viridiplantae; Streptophyta; Magnoliopsida; Poales; Poaceae.